ACGCUCUUCCGAUCUAUCAUAUUACACCUGCACUCCACUCACUGCACUGGUUACCUGUCAGUUUUAGAAUAGAUUUUAAGGUUCUGGUGAUGGUUUUUAAAUGUCUUCAUGGUCUUGCUCCUCUUUACCUCAGUGAAAUGAUGGUGAGAUAUGUUCCUGUCAGGUCUCUCAGGUCCUCAAACAGUAAUCUACUGGUGAUUCCUAAAACCCGGUUAAAGAUUGGCGAGGGUGCUUUUAGCCACUACGGCCCAAAGCUUUGGAACUCUCUUCCUGAGGAGCUAAGAGGCAUUACAUCCCUGUACAGCUUCAA
Molecule: long non-coding RNA, 310 nt
Organism: Pygocentrus nattereri (red-bellied piranha)
Lineage: Eukaryota; Metazoa; Chordata; Actinopteri; Characiformes; Serrasalmidae
Exons: 3
Source: RefSeq, a predicted model, not a curated record